Long non-coding RNA from Thalassophryne amazonica, 148 nucleotides. RefSeq lists it as uncharacterized. The transcript is spliced from 3 exons. Lineage: Eukaryota; Metazoa; Chordata; Actinopteri; Batrachoidiformes; Batrachoididae. The record is from RefSeq and is a predicted model, not a curated record.
GCAGAGGAUGACCAGGUGACUGUUGUCACCAGAGACCACCAGCUGACCAUGUGGCUGGAACUGAGGGUUUUCAAACUUUUGGAUGCUGAGUCGAGCAGUUCCCAGUCUGGCAACAUGAACAGCCUUGUUGGGUAAAUCUUAAGCCACA